Molecule: ribosomal RNA, 510 nt
Filed under: uncultured bacterium
Lineage: Bacteria
Description: bacterial SSU rRNA
Rfam family: Bacterial small subunit ribosomal RNA
Source: RNAcentral
GACGAACGCUGGCGGCGUGCCUAAUACAUGCAAGUCGAACGCACUCUCGUUUAGAUUGAAGGAGCUUGCUCCUGAUUGAUAAACAUUUGAGUGAGUGGCGGACGGGUGAGUAACACGUGGGUAACCUGCCCUAAAGUGGGGGAUAACAUUUGGAAACAGAUGCUAAUACCGCAUAAAACCUAACACCGCAUGGUGUAGGGUUGAAAGAUGGUUUCGGCUAUCACUUUAGGAUGGACCCGCGGUGCAUUAGUUAGUUGGUGAGGUAAAGGCUCACCAAGACCGUGAUGCAUAGCCGACCUGAGAGGGUAAUCGGCCACACUGGGACUGAGACACGGCCCAGACUCCUACGGGAGGCAGCAGUAGGGAAUCUUCCACAAUGGACGAAAGUCUGAUGGAGCAAGCCGCGUGAGUGAAGAAGGUUUUCGGAUCGGUAAAACUCUAGUUGUUGGAGAAGAAUGUAUCUGAUAGUAACUGAUCAGGUAGUGACGGUAUCCAACCAGAAAGCCACGG